Molecule: long non-coding RNA, 2340 nt
Filed under: Sorghum bicolor (sorghum)
Lineage: Eukaryota; Viridiplantae; Streptophyta; Magnoliopsida; Poales; Poaceae
Description: long non-coding RNA (SBIC_LNC005159)
Source: RNAcentral
AUCCUUACCCAGGCAGUAAUGGUAUAUGCCUUCUCUCAAAGUAUGUGUAAUUUUUGAUAUGAGGCAUAGUGAUAUUGCCUUCUCUCUCACCCUACUCUAAUAAGGUUUGAUAUCUGGGGCUCAUAGGUGGGAGACAGAUAAUACAUACUUACAAGACAUUUAUUGCAAAGUCAAACCAUGGAUCCAGAGAAACAAGUUAAUAAGUCAAAUCAAGAUGUGCAUGUGUGGCGAGUGAAUGAUGUAUGGUGAUGAUGGUGACAACAAUGGUGAAAGUCUAAUUUUACUUUUGCUCUCUUUAAGGGGAUACAUACCUUUCUUGCACUUUGAAGCUUUUUUGAGGAGAAUAAGAUGCUCUAUAUUUUAUUUUUCUUUCCUCUCAGGUGGGUAUCUUGUACCCCUAGUUCUACUGUCGAACACUUGUCCAUUUUUACCUCUCGUCUUACUUUUUCUUUUCUUUUGAGGUUUCGGGCACUUGCCCCUUUUUAUUUCCUCAUAUCUUUCUCUUUUUUUUAGAGCACUCGUCUCCUGAAAUGAUAUAGCAAGUGGUAUUAACCAAGAUAACUCGAGCAUUUAUUUCACAGGGAAAAACAGAAAUAGGAGAAUGCUUUUGGCUAUUCUCUCCCGGAUUAGGAGUAGAAUACUUUUGGGUGGCUCUGGAGAUGGAAAUGAGUGGAUAUAUGUGGAUGCGUACUUCCGAAGCAGAAGCAGCAUGUGUGAGUGAACGUGCAAGUGAAUCUUGAUUUUAACCGCAUGACAAGCUCCUAAGGGUCUACACAGCUUGACCACACUCAAUGCUCAUAAGCAGUAAAAAGUAAAUGUAUGGUUCAUAGUCUAAUAAGCAUGUAUAUAUGGCUGUGGUAGGAAUUUAAACUCUCAUCAUACAGGAACUCAUCAUGUGAUAUUUUAAAGAUUUUCAAAGAUAAAAUUCUCCAGAAUUCUAGCAUCUCUAGGAACAGAUAAACAACAGCUCAUCCUUUCCAUAUCAUAUCCAUUAACGACUUAGACUUUAGAUCAAGUACUCUUCCCACAAGUUCAGGUUUAGAGCAGGUUUAAAUUAUAACAGUUAUGCCUAAACUUGAGAGAGAUUUUAAUUUUGAGAACUAGUCAUGGCACAGCAACUAUUCAUCAUUUUCAUGUGCGAGAUUAUCAUGAGGGUUCAUAACAAACUUUAUUUAUUUAUUUAUUUAGCAAACUAAGCAAAGAUAUAUAUAAGCACAAAAAUCAUUAUUUGGGUUUUUAUGAUUAUGCAUCUUUUUAUUAUUUGAGUAAAGUAUAAACGCGAGUAGAAACACUUAGGUGGAUAAAUGGGGGUGCUCUCCCCCAAGCUGGAUUUUGAUGUAGCUAGCAGGUGAUGGAGGUGUAUUUGAAUGUCAGUAGCACCCUGACAGCGAUUAGGAUGUCCUCCGUCUGCUAGUCUUCUUUGAUCCUUGAAUUCUGUGGAGCUCAAAUAGACAACAAAGCUUUGUGGAACUGGUUAAGUCUUAGCAUAAAAUCUCUUUGCCUUUAUCAUGUUGAGCUUCCUCUAAUAAAUAUUACUCUCUUUGGUAGGAUCAUAAAUUUAUUUUUAUUUUUAUAGGACAGGAAUAUAUUUAUUUUAUUUUUAUGCCACCACAGUGAGUGUACUUAUGGGUUUUAUGCCAUGAGCAUACUCACAUGGGACUUACUAUUUUUAACAUUUUUAUUUUCUUUUCAAGAUAGCAUGAACCUGAUUAACUAAGCAAACUAUUGAAAGGAAAAGGAUAACUACCAAGUUUACCUCUUGGCAAGACAUUCGGUGUUUUUAAGUCCUCCGAACGGGACUCUCCGUUUUUUCGGUCGUCCUGGGAUUCGCUAGAUGGCGUAGUCGGUGGUUCCGGCGGUGCCUCUUCCUCGUGUAUAACUAUCUUCUCUCUCCUCACCUGACUUGUUGCUAUGGUCUCCUCAGGACAAUUCUGUUCAAGCUGUAUGUCUUCAGACCUUACUACUUCUCCUUCGUAGUCUGCCCUGUUGAUACUAGCUAACACCACUUAGAUACUAGGUUGUCAUCCCCAGCAUGGUGCCAGAGUGUACAAAGGUAUUUAUAAAUGUAAAGGCUCUCUAGAAAAUAAUCUAUUCUAUCCGCAAGCACACAGAUAAAACACCUCAUUGUAGCAUUUCACCAGGAUAAGUAUUCCAGGUAUCGUUAUUUAUAAUUUUGCUCAAGGGAUGAAAUUAAAGUAAAGGGGGCAAAAUCUAUCAAGGCAUAGACUAGAGAUAAACUUGCAAGAACAUGAUUACUAAUGAGAAACUCGUCACACAGUCACUUACUUUAGCAGGGGGUAAACCAUAAAGAAAAUGAUAAUAAAGUAUAAGUUCAUGGGU